Molecule: long non-coding RNA, 222 nt
Organism: Melopsittacus undulatus (budgerigar)
Lineage: Eukaryota; Metazoa; Chordata; Aves; Psittaciformes; Psittaculidae
Exons: 3
Source: RefSeq, a predicted model, not a curated record
GUUACAUACAUGGAAGCAGUCAGGCUCAGUUUGUUGCGGAAUCACAUAUUAUUCUUCUACUGAAUGCUGCUAUCACCAUGGGAAUGGUACUCCUGAAUGAAGCUGCUACCUCCAAAGGGGAUGUUGGGAAAAGGAGAAUAAUAUGUCUGGUGGGCCUGGGUCUAGUGGUCUUUUUCUUCAGCUUCCUGUUGUCGAUAUUUCGCUCUAAAUACCAUGGCUAUC